Long non-coding RNA from Antechinus flavipes (yellow-footed antechinus), 1463 nucleotides. RefSeq lists it as uncharacterized. The record is from RefSeq and is a predicted model, not a curated record. The transcript is spliced from 2 exons. NCBI's taxonomy places the organism in Eukaryota, Metazoa, Chordata, Mammalia, Dasyuromorphia, Dasyuridae.
AUUGAGAGUUUUUAGCACUGAUGGUAGGGAAAAAUGUGCUCAUAAGUGGACAUUCCUUUUUAAUGAAGAACAGGAUUAACUGGAAAAAGACUUUAGAGACAAUCUGAUCCAACUCCCACAGUUAGAUGAGAAGAUUGAUGCCCAGAGAGAUUUAACGAGCGAUUUGUCCAACGUCCUACAGGUAGUAAGUGAAAUCAUUUAGUUUAUAGAUGCUACCGCAGUGUUAUUUGGUGAUAUUAAAUUACCUGGCAAAAUAAAAGAAUUGGUUUUUAAGAGACAAAAAAGCAAGAAUUUCAAGGGAAUAAUUAAGGGAGUAGCUAGGGGACCUAGCCUUACCAGAUUUAAAACUACAUUAUGGAACAAUGCUUUGUAGAGAGUUAGGUAAUCAAUAUAUGUACUGAAUGAAUUGCAAAUAGAUUGUCUCCGUUUCUAUUCCCGUAAAUUCUGCCUGUUCAAAUGGGACCCAUGUCUUGCAGUAGAGAUUACAACUCACGGGUUCGGUGUUUUCCUAAAUUAUAGGAUAGAAAGAGGCAGCUACAAAGAGAAAGGAGAAAAGCUGAAUCAGAUGAGAGAAAAAAAAAAAGAUUUAAAAAAAUAAAAACUGAGUCAAACCACACGUUUUACUUUCGCUUCUUGAAUAAUGUUCUCUAGGAAAUAAAGUAUCUGAGUGUCAGGAUGGCCGAGUGGUCUAAGGCGCCAGACUCAAGGUAGAACCUUCACUUGUAGAGUGUUCUGGUCUCCGCAUGGAGGCGUGGGUUCAAAUCCCACUCCUGACACAUCUCUUUUAUUUCACCCACACUUUUAACAAUGAUAAAUAAAUGGCUUUUAGACAGUUGUUUUGUUUUGUUUUUUAAAUUAAAAGCAAUAAUCAACAGUAGUAACCUUCAUUUUGAGUCUUUCUGGAGAUGAGUGGGUCUCAGUAAACCCGGGGUGUUACCUUCAUGUAUUUCCCUAACCGGCUCUCGGAUCCCAAAGAUUUGUGUUUUGGGCGCGCACGCCCCUCCUCCCCAAUUUUCCUCAUUUAUUUUUUUCUGUGUUCUGUUUUUUCUUUCCAAUCGGGAGUGGAGUGGAGGUCUAGAGAAGAGAAGCACGGAAAGAGAAACGGCCACGAGAGACCGCCUCCAUAUUCGGGAACCGACAAAACCAGCCUGGCGGAAUCCUAACUCUUCACAGCGACACUUAGAGGGGAGAUCAUGCAACAGCAACAAGCAGCCAACAUUUAUUGAAGCUUUUAUGGAAUCCUUAGUCUUAUUGCCUUCCCUGGGAAAUUUAUUUCUGAUUUAUUCUGUACGUACCAUGUUUGUAUAUGGUUGUUUGCAAGUCGUCUCUCCAUUCUCCCCACCCCCACUUUUACAGUGUGAGCUCCUUGAAGGCAGGAGCUAUUUUUGUCUUUUCUGUAUUUCCAGCUCUUUGCCCAUUGCCUGCCACUUUGUUAGGCACUCAAUAAAUGCUCAUCGACUUUU